This 789-nucleotide ribosomal RNA is filed under the name Variovorax boronicumulans. RNAcentral describes it as "bacterial SSU rRNA". It matches the Rfam family "Bacterial small subunit ribosomal RNA", at positions 202 to 1006 of the family's 1533-position model. Lineage: Bacteria; Pseudomonadati; Pseudomonadota; Betaproteobacteria; Burkholderiales; Comamonadaceae. The record is from RNAcentral.
AGGGGUCGCAGACUUGCGCGAAGGGCGGCCGAGGCAGCCAGGAGUUGGUGAGGUWWGGCUACCKGCCUUCGAUUGUAGCUGGUCUGAGAGGACGACCAGCCACACUGGGACUGAGACACGGCCCAACUCCUACGGGAGGCAGCAGUGGGGAAUUUUGGACAAUGGGCGAWAGCCUGAUCCAGCCAUGCCGCGUGCAGGAUGAAGGCCUUCGGGUUGUAAACUGCUUUUGUACGGAACGAAACGGCCUUUUUCUAAUAAAGAGGGCUAAUGACGGUACCGUAAGAAUAAGCACCGGCUAACUACGUGCCAGCAGCCGCGGUAAUACGUAGGGUGCAAGCGUUAAUCGGAAUUACUGGGCGUAAAGCGUGCGCAGGCGGUUAUGUAAGACAGUUGUGAAAUCCCCGGGCUCAACCUGGGAACUGCAUCUGUGACUGCAUAGCUAGAGUACGGUAGAGGGGGAUGGAAUUCCGCGUGUAGCAGUGAAAUGCGUAGAUAUGCGGAGGAACACCGAUGGCGAAGGCAAUCCCCUGGACCUGUACUGACGCUCAUGCACGAAAGCGUGGGGAGCAMACAGGAUUAGAUACCCUGGUAGUCCACGCCCUAACGAUGUCAACUGGUUGUUGGGUCUUCACUGACUCAGUAACGAGCUAACGYGUGAGUUGACCGCCUGGGGAGUACGGCCGCAGGUUGAWACUCAAAGGAUUGACAGCGACCCGCACAKCGUUGAUGAUGUGGUUAUCGAUGCAUCGCGAACUUACCACUUYUGACAUGUACGGAUUCGCUGAGAUG